AAAAAAAAAAAAAAACCCUUAAAAGCAAUACAAUGAUGCAAUUCUGGUGCGUAGUUUUUUAAGGGCUAACAGGAAUAAUUAAUUUAUAUUAUGAAAAAAAGGAAUAAUUUUUUUUUUCCCACAGUACCUGCUAUGUGGACAGGAAGAAAGUAACACUGGCUGAGAUGUUUUCCUACUCACUAAACAGGAGAAAAGUAAACUGAAGGACACAUAUUGAGGACUUUUCCCUUAAGAGAUCUCUUAGCAUGCAUUCCUUGAUUUGUAGAGCCAGGGAUAGUGAGAGUACGGUAUAACCAAAAACCAAACCCAGUGCCAUCGAGUCGAUCCCGACUCAUAGCGACCCUCAGGACAGAGUAGAACUGCCCCACAGAGUUUCCAAGGAGCGCCUAGACGGAUUCGAACUGCCGACCCUUUGGUUAGCAGCUGUAGCACUUAACCACUACGCCACCAGGGUUUCCGAGAGAGAAUAGUAUAGUCCAUGUAAAAAAGCAAAUACAACUUAGUAGGAUCUGCAGAGGUAGGGGAUGUGAAAAUCAAGCAUAUCUUAUUGCAAGCAGUCUGGGAGGUUUGAAUUAUCAGCAGGGCUGCCUGAGGAAAAAUAGCCCUUGGAUGAUAGAGUUCUGUCUUAUGGGGUCGCUGUGAGUCAGAAUGCACUCACAACAAAGGGUAUGCUUUAGGUACGAAGCCUUUAGGGUGCAAGGCUAAGCCCGCCCUGCUUGAGGAGCUCACGCAUGCGCACAGCCUCCUGAGACAAGGCUCUGGGGCGCGCGAACUGCCACCUCUAACGGCCUCAGGCGUCAGUUGCAGAAGGUCCCCUUCACUGAGGCGCGAGGCAGGAGCAGGGAAGGCAGGGUCCCUAAGGGUAGGUCUCGCUCUGGGCUGGGCUGUGCCAGGGGAGGCCUCAGACCCUGCACACAGGAGCGCACCGCUCUUCCGCUUUCUCUUAGGUAAGUUCUAUUACAAAGGAAGGGAAGGGGCACGCAAACAUCCUUGGUAAUGUUGCUGCUAUGCUUUACCCUCCUGUAGGCUCUUGGGUUAUUUGCAGGUGGGCUUUGCAUUGGGAGACCCCCUUUCCUGGUGUAGAAUUCAGCGCUCUCAGGUUGCUAGCGUGCCCUGUGCUGGCAGUAUUUAUACCACGGGAAAUGGCAAAGGCUGCACCUCAGGACUGCAGUGAUUGUUUUCCUAACUGGUGGACUGAAAAUGAGGGGGGAACUUUCAAUAAUGACUCUUCAAACUGACAAGUGUGUCAUUAUCUGUUGCAUUUUGAAUAAUACCUAAUUUUGAAAAAUAAGGAUUUGAAAAGCACUCUCUGUUUAAGCACAGAAAGAGCUCGUGUCAAGGGAAAUUCUGUCAAGUUCCAGCCUAGGACCUCAUGUCUCUUAGGUCUUCCUUGUUAACAUAAGAAACAUAUCAACCAACAUUCAUGUUCAAAUGACACUGCUUUGCUGAGGAAGUGAGUGACUUUGCUGAAUUGACUAAAACCAAGCAUUUAUUUGUAGUGUCGUGCAUGGAAUCAUGACUGACUUGCAAGCAUGGUGGGUUAAGGAUGCAGCAGAUUUUCCAAGAUCUACAAAAGCACCCUGCUAAUGAUGUGUGUAUAAAAGAUUUCCAGUCACGAGUACUGCAUGUUUGACUGAAAUCAGUAAAUUCUGUGUCACUCCUCCAUGUGUAUCUGGGAGAUUUUAUAUGUAUGAUUCUGCAGAAAGCCAGUGUGAGUGUGUAAUCCUUUGCCAGCACACAACUGUGUGUGCAUUUGAGGCUGUAAGUUGCUGCAUUUGUGUUUCUAUCCUGGACUGAGUGUCUGUGGGUGUAUUUGGAAUGUGAGGCACGUGUGUAUAUUAAUAGGCUGUCGGGGGUCAGUGUUUGUUUGAGGAGAUGCAAAAGUUUUGCAUUUGUUUUUUGAGGGUGGAUACUUGUGUGGUGGUGUGUAUAACUUGAAAUAGGACAGAGAUGUAGUUGUGAGCUUCGUAGGGAUUGUGAGAAUUGAGGGUUGUGGGUACUUCUGUGCCCGUUAUUUGGGACUCUGUUGGCCAUGUGUUUCUGUGAAUUCACAGUUUGGGAGUUGUGUAUGUGUGAAUGGGUUCGCGGGAAGUUGGUAUUUGUAUGUGUGGGUUGGCGGUGUCUGUAUGAAUAUUUGUGGUUCAGUAUGAGUGUGUUUUGUGGGAGUGUGCAGGGCAUGAGAUACAGGUGUGUGCACUCAAAGACUUGAAGGUGAGCUCUUUACAAUUUGUGGCUGGAGGGAAUACUUAGGGCAUGGCUCUCCUGCCAUAGAUUUUGGGUCAUUCUGUGUACCUAAUAGCAGGUUUGGAAUGGGUUUCUCAGCUUUACGUUUGGGCAUCUGAGGGAGUGUGCCUGUGUGUAUUAGUUUGGGUGUAGGGCCUGUUCUUUUUUAUAUUUGGGGACUGAGAGAGGAUCACCGGUGUGUAGUCAGGGCAUAUUGUACAUUUGUGUUGCUUUGGGUGCUUUUCUGGAGUUGCACAUGAAUUCUUCCAUGUUCGGUCUGGGGUUUGUGUGAUUCUGUACACUAGAAAAUUUGAAAUUGAUUUCUGUUUGAGUAUUUUGGAUUGUUGGAUUAUGUGUAGACAGGCAUUAUGAGGGUUUAUUGGCGUUGGAAGAUACAGGGUCAUUGUUGCAUACUUUCAGUUCCCUGGAUAAUUUAGGUUAGAUUUAGGGUAUAAGGCCAGUUGUAUGGGUAAAGAACUUGUGUGUUUCAUGAAGGGGCAUGGCUGUUUGGAUGACUAUUUUCCAGGGCUGUGUGUAAUAUUUUUCAGUAGAGAGUAUGGUGUAUUCUGGAAAAUGAGGAGGUGUGUAUCUGAUGAAAAUAUGGGGCUGUGUAUUUGCACAGGGUGUGGGAGAAUUGUUUUUACAUGUAGUAGAGGCACGUUGAUAUGGUUAUGUGUGAGAUAUUGAGAAUGUGGCUGUUUCGGAACGUGAGAUAUGGACCUGGAACAGGGUUCCAGUGUAUUUAUUCAGGAUGUGCAAGAGAUAUCUCAUUGUAAGUGGGGAGUAUAUACUGGUGUGUGUAAGUCACGAGUGGGAGGGUGAAUUAUUCUUGGAGUAUUCUACAAGUGUUUCUUUGGAGAAUGUUAGGGUGUUUCUAGAUGUGUGUGUUUGGGCAUGUUCGGAGGUUGGGAAAUGAGGCUAUAUUCUAGAGACGUGAUAAUCUAUAGUGUUUUGGGUGAUGUAUACUUUGAGAAAUUGAGGCUGUUUACAUGUGUGUAUGUGUCUGUGUGUGUUGUGUCUGGCAUGUGUGAACACGUGGCCGCUUAGGGGCGUGGGUUGUGUGUGUAUAUUAGCUAGACUGCAAGGAUUGUUGGUGUUUUGGAGUUUUAUCUGCAUCUAUACAUGUGUGGGGUGUAUAUACAUGGUUGGGUUAUGGGUGAGUGUGUGGGGGGUUUGUGUCUGUAUGAAAGCAGCCAGCAUUUCUCUUUGUGCCUAUUCUGGUCUAAUUCUUGCAGAAUUUGGUGGUAUAGCUUGUAUGUACAUUUUCAAUGUUCAUGUGAUGUACUUACAUAUAUUAAUACUAAGGGUCGUAUGUGGUUGUGUGUUUAUUUGGUUUCACUAGUUUUCAGAGCUGUUUGUUCUGGAGGAUGUGGGAGAUUCAGGAUGUACAUCUGGAAACUGAGAAGAUUUAUAUAAAUUGUGCAUGCAUUUUGGAAUUUGUGUAUUAUAAGUGUUUUAGAGAUGUGGGUUUUAGUGUGUGUCUGUAUUAGUGUGGCUUAUGAAGUGAGAUUUUGAACAUGGUGGUGUCAGAGAGCUAGAUUGUGUGUAGUGUUUGUUGUACAUGUGUGUGUUCAGGCACGUGUGGAGAGCAUACACAUCGUUGUAGUAACAAGUGUGAGUGUUCACGGUCCGUAGGGUUUUUGUCAUAAAACUAUUAGCAGUAAGAUGUGGUAUGUUUGUAUAUUCAGGUUGUGGGUCGAGGUUGUAUGUGUGUGUUCAGGCGUUGUGAGCUGUGUGUUCUGGAGAUGUAUAGUGAGAUUUGGUUUACAUAUUAUGGGAGGGAGUUAAAGGUCCUUCUCAUGGUGCAGGUGGAAUGUGUGUACAUGUUAAUAGGAAAGUGGAUCAUGUAUGUUGGCAUCGGCUCCUAUUAACUUGGGAUAGUAGGUGGUGCUUAUCUCUGCCCAUUGGGGGUCAAUGACAUCAGGCUGGUACCUUGAAAUUAGCCGUGGCAGGAUUACUUCUAUCAGGUGAGUUGUCAGUCUUUACAAAGCAGACUUGCAGCACUCCCAGUGGAGAGUGAAUUGGUAAAUAUCUACCAACACAUCAUUGGUCAGUGUGUGUGUGUGUGUGUGUGUGUGUCUUUCUGUCGGUGUAUGUGCCUGUGUGUCAAUCGAAUUUGUUAAGCAAGAACAUGUAGACAUCAUUGGUGUACUCUAUUGGAGAUUGUGAGUGGAGCAUUUGGGGGACUUAGGCCCUUCUAUGUGUCCCUGGAAAAGAGGUGUGGCAAUAUUGUAUCCUUUCAUCUCACUUUUUCAAUCUCUAUGGGGUUUUGGAUGCCUAACAAAUAAUCUGAGAAGCCAGAAUAUAUGAGGAAGAAUGGGGCAUCAGCAUUGGAGGAAUGUCAUUGACAACCUGGGAUACGCAGAUGACACUUGCAUGCUGAAAAUGAAGAAAACUUGAAUAACUACUUGAUGAAGUUCAGAGACCACAGCCUUCAGUGUGGAUUACACUUCAACAUAAUGAAAAUGAAAAUCUUCACUCUGGACAACCAAAGUGGCCUCAGGAUCCAAAAGAUAGAAUGAAAUGGGUUUCCUCUGGUGUGUCUGAUCAGUUGGUUCAGAUCCCCACCUUCCCAGGCAGUUCAGUGGGAGUGGCAGAAGCAACGCAGGGGUUUAGGUCAGCUUCAGACACACCACGUGAUGUCAAAUGACCAUGGCGGUCCCAAGGUGACUGCACACACGCCUCCUACCACACUUGGACCCAGCAAAGGACUUCUGCACCUUCUGAUUACUGCUGUCUUUGUUGGGGUAAGGAUGGAUCUCAUUGUACUUUCAUCUGCAUUUUUCUGAAGGCUAAUGAUCAUGAGCAUUUCCUCAGGUAUGUCUUAACUUCCUAAAUGUCUUCUUUGGUGAAGUGACUGUUCAUGUUCCUUGCCCACUUUUUAAUUGGGUUAUAUGUCUUUUUGUUGUUCAGGUUUUCAAGUAUCUUGCAGAUUUUGGAGAUGAGAUGCUGAUCAGAUUUCUUGUAGCCAAAAUUUUUUUCCCACUCUGUACAUUGUCUUAUUACUGUUUUGGUGAAGUGUUUGGACGGGCAUAAGUGUUUGAUUUUUAGGAGCGCCAAGUUAUCUAGUUUCUCUUCUGGUGUUUGUGUCAUGUUAAUAAUGGUUUGUGUACUGUUUAUGCCGUGUAUUAGGUCUCCUAGUGUUGUCCCUGUUUUUUAUUCCAUGAUCUUUAUCGUUUUAGAUUUUAUAUUUAGGCCUUUGAUCCAUUUUGAGUUACUUUUUGUGCAUGGUUUGAAGUAUGGUUCUUGUUUCAUUUUUUUGCAGAUGAACACCCAGUUAUGCCAGCACCAUUUGUUCAAGAGGCUGUCCUUUCUCUAGUGGACAUUGGACCUUUGUCAAAUAUCAGCCCAGAGGAUGUGGCAGUCUCUGAAGCUGGCUUGGACAGAAUAUGGAGCAGGAAGGAGAUAUACGUCAUGAGAUGAAGAGAGAGUUUACCCUGAAGAAGAAAAGUGAAGCUUGCUGGGCUGUGCCCUGGCUGCCAUCAAGGGCAUAAGGAGGUUCAAGGAGGCAGAGUCCUGAUCAUCAUAGUUUUGGGAGACGGGCAAGGCAGAUCUGUUCUCUGGAUGAAGCUUCUUUUCCCAACAUCACAAAUCUUACUUGCAGAGGUCUCCAUCCAGAUCCCGGUUAGGAACUUCUCAACACAUGAAGGAGCUCACAGGCACCAAAUGCCAAACGACUGGAACACCCACUGCCCUGAACAUGGGGUCUAUGCAAAUGCCCAGACAGUCAGACAACUGAUGCCUCAGUGCUUCUCAGCCCUUCGUACCAAUCCUGCUCACAUCUUGCCUUCCACACUCCAGGCAUCCAGGUCCGCCAUGAACCUCAACAUGUCUCUGCUUCUCCUGGACUUUAUUGUUGUUGUGUAAGGUAAGUUUCCUCUAGUUUGUAAGGAACUAUUUUCAAUGAAAGUAUAAGACCAAAGCUACAUCAAUUUAACCCUAGAAUUUCAGUCAUCAUUUGAGAAAGAAAGGGAAGAGUGCUUAUAGGAUGCUCCUCGGAAGAUUCCAAAGGCACCUGAGGUUAGUUCCCUUGAACACAGCAGGAUGGACCUUCCCAAUCCGGUUGAAUGAGAUUCUUUCCUGUCCAUAAAUAAGGCAAAGGGACUUCCUAACUUCUCUGUCUACUUUCGUACCUCAU
Molecule: long non-coding RNA, 6361 nt
Organism: Loxodonta africana (African savanna elephant)
Lineage: Eukaryota; Metazoa; Chordata; Mammalia; Proboscidea; Elephantidae
Exons: 7
Source: RefSeq, a predicted model, not a curated record